RNAcentral lists this non-coding RNA (191 nucleotides) under Ruthenibacterium sp. RNAcentral's name for it is "6S RNA". It matches the Rfam family "6S / SsrS RNA". Rfam says of the family: E. coli 6S RNA was the first non coding RNA to be sequenced, but its function was unknown until recently. RNAcentral also lists the same sequence under 1 other name. Lineage: Bacteria; Bacillati; Bacillota; Clostridia; Eubacteriales; Oscillospiraceae. The record is from RNAcentral.
AACCGCCUGCCCUGUGCGAUUUGUUGCGCCUACGUUAAAUCCUACUAACCAAUCAUCGGGAGCCCGGUGUCCGUGGAGGGAUUGCAGACCUCCCGCCGUUGCGGAAGAAGGGAGCAUGAAACCCAUGGCAGGGCACCCACCUGCCAAAGAGGUAGGUUUUGGUUUGGCGCAGACGGCAGGGUGGGCUUUGC